Molecule: long non-coding RNA, 1103 nt
Filed under: Calidris pugnax (ruff)
Lineage: Eukaryota; Metazoa; Chordata; Aves; Charadriiformes; Scolopacidae
Description: lncRNA (ENSCPUG00000012349.1)
Source: RNAcentral
CUAACAGCCAAAGGCAGGUAACAGAUGAGGGAGUCAAGAUGUAGCUUGGAAAGAGAGACCAGAUUGAUGGUGGAGAUUUUUACCAGCCAAAAAUAUAGUGUAAAUAUAGGCCUGGCUUGAAUAGGUUUAUGUCAGGAGUAGGAAAUCCUAAAAUUGAGAUAAUGUAAUAAUGAGUAGAGCUGGGGUAGGUGUCCAUGUCUUUGCAGGAAGCUGCUUUCUGUUGAUACCAUUACUUGGCCUGUUGACUCCUCCAUGGUUUUCUCACUUGAGUUUUCUGCAUUCGAGAUUGUGGAGCUUGUUCAGUUUCUUUGCUCAAAUGCAGGUGUCAGCAGCCUCUACAACCACCGUGUCCUCUCACAUCCUCUCCUUUCUGCCAGCUUUCAACACACCGGCAACUACAGCUGAGAUCAUGGAGCCUUUGGUUGUUCCCAGUUCUGAGGAUGGUGUGACCUGAACCCUAGAGUAUGUUGUGGAGGAGGUGCAGUCCUGGAAUCGACAGCAGCAGCGGCUGGACACGUACUCUGUCCGCCAGCCCCGGCCGGCAGCGUCUGGAGGAGCUGCAGGGAGGUUGCCGGGUCCGUCCCCGCUGGCGGCAGCAGCUCUUCACUCUCCCUGAGCUGGAAGGGGAUCGGAUCCCUCCUGGGACUCUCCCCUGCCUGCCCAGGCCAGGUCCAGAUAUUAUGCAGCAGGAAUUUGCAAAACUAAGCCAUGCCCUGAACCUGGAGGGGGAAGAUGGAGACUGGGCUCAGGUCCUAGGUCUGUCUGCCAGUGGGCACCGUGCUGGUUGCAGUGGAGACUGAGGCAGGACUUAUUCCUGUCACCAUGAAAAGAAAUAAGAGGAGAGGAAAAAUAGGCACCAACUGCACACAUUAUACAUCCCAACCACUGGACCAAGAGUUGCACCCCCCACAGCUCUACAAGUGUCAUAAACACCCCACUGAGCCCCCAGGUAACCGCCUGGCCUGUACCAUGGGCUACAAACUGAACUUGUUCCCAAAUCCUCCCAUCCCACCCUCUUGAUCAAAAUAAUCACAGUCCAGCACAAUACCAGAGGAGCUGUUUUGUAGAAUGUUUUUAUUUCAGUGUAAAGUAAAAUGUCAUUU